CCUCGGUCUAGUUUAUUUGCUUGGCUGGAAUCCGAUGACCGUCUUGUUAGAGUUAACGCUAAUAUAAUAUACAAUAUUUGAAGUUGAUAAUUUGUAUUGGUAUAGUUUAUAAAAUAUAGAGGAUAAGAUAUAUGGGACAUUGCUGGAGACUGAGAAAAUAUAGAGAACGAAAUCUUUUAGAGUGUGCUGUAAAGGACAGAGAAUAUUCUUUUAGGGGAUAGAAUUUAGGGAACGUUGCUGGAGACAGUCUAAUAGAGAUGGACAUGUAUGUGCCAUGUGGUAUAUGCGUUGCGUGUUUCUAGAAAAAAAAAAUCAAUAGGAUCGGAAGGCCGCAGGAAAGGCUUCGCGCAUGCUUCUAUAAAAAAGCGUCACAGCAGAAACGUACCAACGCAGAUCGAUGGGUGGGGAAAUGGAGGCCACCGCCGCCGAGACGGGGCUCGCCCAGAGACCGGUUGUGCUGUACCCGUCACCAGGGAUGGGCCACCUGGUCUCCAUGAUCGAGCUCGGCAAGCUCCUCGGCGCGCGGGGGCUGCCCGUCACAAUCGUCGUCGUCGAGCCGCCCUUCAACACGGGCGCCACGGCGCCUUUCCUCGCCGGCGUCUCCGCCGCCAACCCGUCCAUCUCCUUCCACCGCCUGCCCAAGGUGGAGCGCCUCCCUCUCGUCAGUACCAAGCACCAGGAGGCGCUCACCUUCGAGGUCAUCCGCGUCUCCAACCCGCACCUCCGCGAGUUCCUGGCCGCCGCGACCCCGGCCGUGCUCGUCGUCGACUUCUUCUGCAGCAUCGCGCUGGACGUGGCGGAGGAGCUCCGCGUGCCGGCCUACUUCUUCUUCACCUCGGGCGCCGAGGUCCUGGCCUUCUUCCUGCACCUCCCGGCGCUCCACGAGCGGGCCACGGCGAGCUUCCAGGACAUGGGGGAGGAGCCCGUGCAGGUGCCCGGCAUCCCGCCGUUCCCGGCGACGCACGCCAUCCUGCCCGUCAUGGAGCGCGACGACGCGGCUUACGACGGCUUCGUCAAGGGUUGCGCCGACCUCUGCCGCUCCCAGGGCGUCCUCGUCAACACGUUCCGCCUGCUGGAGCAGCGCGCCGUCGAGACCGUGGCCGCGGGCCACUGCACGCCCCCCGGCCUCCCGACCCCGCCCAUCUACUGCAUCGGGCCGCUCAUCAAAUCGGAGGAGGUGCUGGGCAAGGGCGGCGAGGAGUGCCUGGCGUGGCUGGACGCGCAGCCCAGGGCCAGCGUGGUGCUCCUCUGCUUCGGCAGCAUCGGCCGGUUCAGCGCCGAGCAGAUAAGGGAGGUGGCGGCCGGCCUGGAAGCCAGCCGGCAGCGCUUCCUGUGGGUGGUCCGGGCGCCGCCCAGCGACGAUCCGGCCAAGAAGUUCGAGAAGCCGCCGGAGCCGGACCUGGACGCGCUCCUCCCGGAGGGUUUCUUGGCCAGGACCAAGGACAGGGGCCUCGUCGUCAAGUCGUGGGCACCGCAGCGGGACGUGCUAGCGCACGCGUCCGUUGGCGGCUUCGUCACGCACUGCGGCUGGAACUCGGUCCUGGAGGCGAUCAUGGCGGGCGUGCCGAUGGUGGCGUGGCCGCUCUACGCGGAGCAGCGGCUCAAUCGGGUGUUCCUGGAGAAGGAGAUGCAGCUGGCCGUGGCCGUGGCAGGGUACGACAGCGACAAGGGCCUCGUGCCGGCCGAGGAGGUUGCUGCGAAGGUGCGUUGGAUCAUGGACUCCGAAGGCGGGAGGAUGCUCCGGGAGCGCACGCUGGCGGCCAUGCGGCAGGCCAAGGACGCGCUGCGCGAGGGCGGUGAAUCGGAGGCCACACUGGCCGGGCUGGUGGACGACUGGAAACGUACUUGACGUGGUUGCUGUGGAUUAUGUUGGAAGGGGGUGGGGGUUACGCGACACUGUUCGCCAUCUAUGGACUUUACAUCGGAACGAGACCUUCUAGAUGAUCAAUUAUGUCCUGGUACCAGAAACUGUUCUAGAUGAUUAAUUAUUAUAUAAAUUAAACUAUUAUUUAAAGUGGAAUUGUUCCG
This 2028-nucleotide unclassified non-coding RNA is filed under the name Zea mays. Its description in RNAcentral is "misc RNA Zm00001eb155800". Lineage: Eukaryota; Viridiplantae; Streptophyta; Magnoliopsida; Poales; Poaceae. The record is from RNAcentral.